Molecule: unclassified non-coding RNA, 355 nt
Filed under: soil metagenome
Description: partial contains 5.8S ribosomal RNA, internal transcribed spacer 2, and large subunit ribosomal RNA
Rfam family: 5.8S ribosomal RNA (bases 1-120)
Source: RNAcentral
GAUGAAGAACGUAGCGAAAUGCGAUAAGUAGUGUGAAUUGCAGAAUUCAGUGAAUCAUCGAAUCUUUGAACGCACAUUGCGCCUUCUAGUAUUCUGGGAGGCAUGCCUGUUUGAGCGUCAUUAAACCUCUCUCAAGUAUGAUUACUUGGAUGUGAAGGAAGAGUACCUUAAACUUAAGGAGUGUUCUCCUUUGAAAUUGAUUAGCAGAUGGUAAUGUUAUUAAAUCCCUGAAGUUGUAAGAAAUAACAGUGGUUUUGUAGACUAUUAUCUAGCUUUAAAUUAUAAUUUUUAUUAUGGUUGACCUCAAAUCAGGUAAGGAUACCCGCUGAACUUAAGCAUAUCAAUAAGCGGAGGA